Molecule: long non-coding RNA, 1045 nt
Filed under: Sorghum bicolor (sorghum)
Lineage: Eukaryota; Viridiplantae; Streptophyta; Magnoliopsida; Poales; Poaceae
Description: long non-coding RNA (SBIC_LNC002590)
Source: RNAcentral
UGCAUGAUGAGUUCCUAUAUGAUGAGAGCUCAAAUUCCUACCACAGCCAUAUAUGCAUGCUUGCUAGACUUUGAGCCACACAUUUACUAUACUGCUUAUGAGCAUUGAGUGUGGUCAAGCUGUGAAGACCCUUAGGAGCUUGUCAUGUGGUUAAAUCAAGAUUUCACUUGCACGUUCACUCAUAUAUGCUACUUCUACUCUGGAAGUACGCAUCCACACACAUCCACUCAUUUCCAUCUCCAGAGCCACCUAAAAAUAUUCUACUCCUAAUCCGGGAGAGAAUAACCAAAAACAUUUCUAUUUUUCCUUGUGAAAUAAAAUGCUCAAGUUAUCUUGUUACUACCACUUGCUAUAUUAUCUCAAGAGAUGAAUGCUCUGAAAAAAAAAGGGGGGAAUAAUACGAGGAAAUAAAAAGGAGCAAGUGCUCGGAACCUCGAAAGAAAAGAAAAAGUGAGACGAGAGGUAAAAAUGGACAAGUGUCCGACAGUAGAAUUAGGGGUGCAAGAUACCCACCUGAGAGACAAGAAAAAGAAGAGCAUCUCAUUCUCCUCAUAAAGUUUCAAAAGCAAGGAAGGUAUGUAUCCCCUCAAAAGAGCAAAAGUAGAAUUAGACUUCCACCACCAUUGUUUUCAUCAUUGUUAUCACCAUCAUCACCAUAUACCAUUCAUUCGCCACACAUGCACAUCUUGAUUAAACUUAUUGACUUGUUACUUUGGAUCCAUGGUUUGAAUAUGCAAUAAAUGUCUUGUAAGUAUGUAUAUUUUAUCUCCCACCUAUGAGCUCCAGAUAUUAAAGCCUUAUUAGAGUAGGGUGAGAGAGAAGGCAAUGUCACUAUGCCUCAUACCACAAAUACCACAUAUCUUGAGAGAAGGCAUAUACCAUCAAUGCCUUGGUAAGGAUCCAAAAAUACCACAAAAGAGAGACCUGAGAGAAUCAUACAAGGAAUCUCUGAGUUUUAUUUGAAAAUCUACAAAAAUCCCAGAGCUAUAGCUGAUCAAGAAUAAGAGACAUGGCACUUGGCUAGACUGUUCUAUCUUUUAACCAC